AUUUAGAUUGUUAAUCUUUUGCUAUUAUAAGCAACACCACAAUGAAUAGUCUCUGGUGUGCAAUAAUAUUCGUGUGUAUGUGAGACACUAUGUAGAAAUGGAAUUGUGGAGUGAGGGGUAUGGACACUGUAAUUUUUAUAUCUGUUAUCAGAUAAUUCUCCAGGAGUUUCUAUUAAUUUAUAUUUCUCUAUCCAGCUCUCAUUUUAGAUUCUGGAGAUUGUCAAUGGAAUCUGUUCCAUUGGAGGUCAUAGGUGAGGAAAUAGGAUGCAAGAUUGAACAAGGAAAGAUGGAUAUUUGUGUUUUUAUAUCAGCCUCAUAAAAUGAGAUUACUAAAUAGUUUACCAAAUAUUUUGGCAAAAUAGACUGACUGUCAAGCAGUCCUCUCUGCUAGGAAGCCUGCCACAUGGAGUAACGAGAAGAUUGGACUUUGCGAUAAGAAUCUGUUUCUAGUCUGACACUGCCAGUGCUCACUGUGGGAUCUUGAUUAAGCAAUCAGCCUUUCUUUGAGCUCAGUUUUCUUGUUUGUCAAAUGAGUAUUUUGAGUGAUUGAUCUCUGAUGAAUCUUUGAAUCCAAAAUUAUUUAGUUCUAUGAAACUGCCUUCACUUAUUACAAUAAAAGUUCUCAGAGAGGAAUAGCUAUAUAAUUUGCAAGGCCUCAUACAAGAUAAAUGUAGAGCCCCCUAUUCAAAGAUUAUUAAGAAUGUUAAGAUAUCUACAAAGGAGCAUUAAGCCAAGUGUGGGCCCUUGUAAGUGCAGGGACCCUGUGUACCUGUGCAUAAGCUUAUGGAACUGGUCCUGCUCCUUUAAAGACCCUGCCUCUAAAUCAAUGGCUUAUUUCUGCUUAAGCUUUUGGUGGCAAUUUGACUAAGACAUGUGCUUGAGACCUCACCCCCAGCCCUGGUCAUUCUUUUCUGGAAAAAGUUGCUUUGGUCCAUAGCCCCUGAUCAAAGAAGCUACUCUAAACCUUAUCUUGUGCAAUGGGCACCUGAUGAUUGGACCAGAUGUAGACACCUGACUCAAAGGCAGCCAGUUCAUAGACUGGUGAGCUUGUAGGUGGC
RNAcentral lists this long non-coding RNA (1058 nucleotides) under Capra hircus (goat). RNAcentral's name for it is "lncRNA (ENSCHIG00010014395.1)". Lineage: Eukaryota; Metazoa; Chordata; Mammalia; Artiodactyla; Bovidae. The record is from RNAcentral.